AGGAGUGUUAAGUCUUAGAAAGACUUGAGGCUAGUUGGGAAAGCUAAGGACAACAAAAAAGAUUUUCAUUUAGUCAUAUGGGGAAAAGAACAGAAUCAAAUAAGAGCUAGAAUGUCUAUUCGACAUGGAUAGGGUAGUAAUGGCCAAAACAGAGAGCGUCCUUGACCAACUUACUUUCCUUCUGUUUUCUUUGCCAAGGAGAAUGAUCUUUGGAUUAGGGGGGAAAAAUCAUACUUGCUAAGACAGAGUUAUACCCAAGAGAAAUACAGAGCUAAUAAGAGAGUCGCAUGCUGUUUCCAAGGAAAAGAUGGUUAAACGUGACAGUCUUGAAGGUCAGUGAAUUAGAAAUUCACUGAAUUAUCUUGGAGAUAAUUCUGGAAUUGCCUCCCAACUUGCAUCUACACUUACCUCCCUGGCUAAGAGGUCAAAGACGACAACCUAUUAGUCCUUAUCCAGUGGCUUAAACUCUCAGAAUUAGCACUAACUUUGUCUGAACAUUAUAUAAAUCUGCGUCCUGGUCAGAAGUAGGACUGUUAGCACGCAACCCUCGUACCUCCCAAGAGAAUUCCACCGUGCCCAGACCUGCAUCACCCAAGAGAAUGGUCCACAGUUGCAAGAAGAUUAUGCUUACAAUUCUGAUAUGUUGUGAGGUGUAUUUAUGUUCAGGCCAGACUCUGAUAUGUCAUAACUGCAACGACAGUGAGGAUUGUACCCACCAAGAAACCUGUGCAGAAAAUGAAAAUGUCUGUAUCUUGGAGAUAAUAAAAAUGCCAAACCAUACUGAAGUUCUUAAGAAAUGUUUCACAAAUUGUGAAGACUUCUUUGAGGAAGAGACCUUUGAGAAGGAAGACACCAGUACUACAAAUGUACCCAUCAACUCAAGCACAGUCAGAAAGGUACUACAAAUGACUGAUAAAAAAAACUUCCUGUUCAGACAAAAGACCUCCAUGGAACAUUCCAUUCUGUGCUGUGAUAGUGACCUGUGUAACCAGGCCAGAGUCCGGGGCCCAGGAGAUACACAUCUCGUCUUUGGGUUUCUACUCAGCUUUGUGUGGCUUAUCCACUGUUCAGUUCUGUGACACCUCUGCCUACACCCUUCCAAAGACAGUUUUCUAAGGUAAAAAUUUAAAAGCGCAUUCAUGGUCAUUAAAGUAAGAUUAAUUAACGUAAUGUGAAAUGGUCUCUAUUCUAUUUUCCGAAUGAAUUUUCAGGUUCUAGAAGGUUAAUCAGAGGAGUUCCUGCUCAAUUUGCUGAGCUGAGAAGGAGGUGAUCCUCUCUUUGGAAUUCUGUAACUCAUCCAUUGAGGUUGAAUUGGUUGACUCAAUCACUUUGAUCAUUGGCACAGAGACCCUUCUGUCCCCUCACCCCCCAGGAACUGACUAACCAGCCAUACUGCUAUCAGCCCCAGAGGUGAUAAACUGUUAUGUCUGAACUAUGGUAAAGUACUCAGAGUUCCUGGAAACUUAGCUCCUGUUCUGAGUACCUGAGCACAGCCCUAAAAGUCAGUGUCAGGGGCAUGGGGCAGUCAUGCCUUGUGGUUACCUUUCUAAGAAACUCAUGGUUAAUGGUUUUUAUUUUUUAUGCAUAUUAGUCAUUUUGUACAAGAAGACUUAAAUAAAAGAAAAAAAUGAAGGUG
This is a long non-coding RNA of Phascolarctos cinereus (koala), 1636 nucleotides long. The record is from Ensembl. Lineage: Eukaryota; Metazoa; Chordata; Mammalia; Diprotodontia; Phascolarctidae.